RNAcentral lists this long non-coding RNA (11727 nucleotides) under Nicotiana benthamiana. Its description in RNAcentral is "long non-coding RNA (NBEN_LNC031671)". The record is from RNAcentral. Lineage: Eukaryota; Viridiplantae; Streptophyta; Magnoliopsida; Solanales; Solanaceae.
UCAGCAAAAAACUAUCUUUCCUCUUCUGAAAAGGAUCAAAUCUAAGAAAAAAUUCAAAAACAUUCUAAACCUCUUAUUCUCAGGUUUUCUAUAAGUUGAUAACAUGGUUUGAAUAAAAAAUCUUCCUAAUUCUCUAGUUGGAGUUCCUGGUUUAAAGUUGGUUUUUAGGUUGCCAUCUGAAUCUCUGGACCAUUUUUUUUUUUGGUUGUUGCUGUUGUCUGCUGUUGAACUUCAAUUCUUGGAUAAAGUUCUAUUGCCUAUUUUGCUGCUAAAGGUACAAACCCUAGACUCCUAUGUUUGGUUGGUUCCACCUUUGUAUCCCUUAAUGCUUUAUGUGUUUGUUGUGAUGUAGUAAUCAUGUGAAGUUAUGGUUGGUUUCGAAAUGGAGACCUUUUCCACAAUUGUCUCUAAUAUGUUUUUUUUUUUUUGUGUUUGAGAAUCUAUUUGGAUAUUCUGGGAUGUUUGAGAGCAAGGCAUAACUAUAAAGGUGUAUUUAAGGCUAUCAAAAGUUGUUGACAGUAUGUUCAUGGUAAUAUAAGGUCUAAAUCAGUUCAUAUGUGUCCCGACUCAAAAUUCACUAAGGGUCGUGGUGGCGUCGGACACUGCUAUCAGGCAAGCCAACCAAAAUACUUAAUGACAUCCCAAUUUUUGUAUUGUCUCAAAUCAUUUGUCUUUAUACAUUAAAUAACGAAUAUUAAAAUUUAAAGAAAUAACCGUGAAGUCAUUAACUAAAAUUUAACAUUUAAUAAUCCAAAAAUCCUCCUAGAACCCGGUGUCACAAGUGCAUGAGCAAAUUCUAAGAAAUAAUGUAAUACAACAAUCGUCCGGAAUACAACGUUAGAACGAAAUAAUAAAUACAAAACUGAAAGAGACUCUGUUGGUUGUGGGUCGUCUCGAGAAGUGCAACUCACCUAAGUCUCCGUAUCAACUGUGUUGCUACGCCCAGUAGGCCACUAGAGAUGCAUAUACAUGUGCAACAAAAAUACACAGAAGUGUAGUAUGAGUACGAAAAUAACGUGUACUCAAUGAGUAUCCCGCCUAAUCUCGAAGAAGUAGAGACGACUUGGUCAACUUUGACCUUUACUAAUAGUCCAAUAAUGAUUUAUCCGUAAUAUAUUAAACCGUGGAUUUUUAUAAGCAUGAUUAUAAUUCAAUGGGUUGAAGCAAAUAAACAAUCCUUUCUUUUAUAUAAAAUCACUCUUUUUCAUCAUUUAUACAUAUAUUAUUAAGCUAGAAGAGGCAUCAACAACUUCAAUAAGUUUCAGGGAAAGAAUACCAGCAUGCGCAAAUAACCAUCAUGGGACGUACGGCCCGAUCCAAUAUAAAAGUAAAUUGUACACAGCCAAGGGUCAAACGACUCGAACCAUAGAUGCAUCUAUUACCCCGCUCACAAAUCAUCCAUGUGAUGCGGCCAAAUAUAAAGAAACAACACCCUGCUCGCGAAUCAUACCUGCGACGCGGGCACACACACACACACACACACAUAGUCAAACAGUCAAUUAAGAGUUUAUCGGGAAAAUGUUCAUUUCAAAUAAAGCCAAUUUUUCCUUUAAUGAUUUAAGAAAAAUAAGGUUUAAUCCUUUUAAAAUUCAUUUGCUGAUUUGAUGUGAUUUAAGUAAUUCAAGCUGUUAAUAAGUUUAUAAUUAAUCCAAGAACAACAUGCAUUUGGGUCCUAAGCUACCCGGGCAAUAGCAUAAUAGUAGCUACGCACAGACUCUCAUCACCUCGUGCGUACGUUGCCCUUAAAAAUAGGAGCACAUAACCAAUUAAUUUACCUAUGGGGACAUUUCCCUCUUACAAGGUUAGAAGGGAGACUUACCUCGCUACGAAGAUCCAUAACCAGCAUUCCACGCCCUUUCAAAUACUCGAAUCGAUGCACAACGCUCCAAAGCUAGCCAAUAAUUAUGCAAAUUCAUUAAUAUAUACUCAAUUACUCAUUAUAAUCUGAUUUGUAAAAAUUUCUAACCUCGAUCGAAAAGUUGACAAAAAUUCCCUCGGGCCCACAUGCCCGGAAUUCGAAAUUUUUCGAAGAUAAAGAUUACCCAUAGCCUCACAAACUCAAAUAUAUGAUUUUCUCUAAAUUCCAUACCAAAAUCUCAGUCAAAUUCCAAGAAUACUAAUUUUCUAGGUUUUUCCCACAAACCCCAAAUUUUCUAUAAUUUUCCAAGUCUAAAUCCAUAUAUAAAACCAAAAUCAUGGUCAAAUUCCAAGAAUACAAGUUUUCUAGGUUUUCCCUCAAACCUAAAGUUUUCUAUAAUUUUCCAAGUGUAAAUCCAUAUAUAAACUUUGCAUUUAACUCAAAGCUAGCAUAAAUUACUUAUCUCAUGAUGAGUGAUGAAAAUGGCACCUCAAAGUUUCUCCCUAUCGGCUCCAAUGGAAGAAAAAUUGGGUUGAAAUGAACCCAACCCCGAAUCUUAAAGGACCUCACUACCUCAGCAAUUUCCGUACCUGCGGUUCCUUGACCUCUUCUGCGGCUCCGCAGGUGUGGUUAAAAUACCGCUCAUGCGGUCCUCCCAAGUUGCCCUUUUUCCGCUUUUGCGACCAGCCUUCCGCAGAUGGGGUCCCGCUUCUGCGGAACCUUGACAGCAUCUGCGGUCCACGAACCCCUGACCAAAAAUCCACUACUGCGAUGGAUUGAUCACAUAUGUGGUCCCACUUCUGUGGUCCUGCUUCUGCACUCCUAAAACCGCAGAUGCAGUGAUGACAGAAGCAGCAUACCUUCAGCUAUACUUCAACUUCCAAAUUUGAUCCGUUAACCAUCAAGAAUCCACCCGACGCCCCUAGGACCCCAACCAAUCAUACCAACUAGUCCCAAAACCCAUUUCGGACUUGCUCGAGGCCUCAAAUCACAUCAAACGCUAAAAUCAUGAAUCAACCCCCAAUCCAAGCUUUAUGAACUUUAGAACUUCCAACUUCUACUUUCGAUGCUUAAACUUAUCAAAUCACGUCUGACUGACCUCAAAUUUUGCACACGAGUCAUAUUUGACAUUACAGACAUACUCCAACUUCCGGAAUCGGAUUUUGUCCCCGAUAUCAAAAAGUCCACUUCUGGUCAAACUCUCAAACACUUUCAAAUUUCUAUCUUUAGCCAAACAGCUCCAAAAUAACCUACGGACCUCCGAAUUCACUUCCGAUUGCGCUCCCAACUCCAGAAUCACAAUAAGGAGCUGCUCCCAGACUCAUAAUCCCAAACGGACAUUGAUAUCACUGAAAUACACUUCAACCCAAACUUACGAAAUUUUUUUCAAAAUGCUAUUUUCCACAAUAGGCGCCAAAACGUUCCCGAGUCGUCCACAACCCGAUCCGGGCAUACGCCCAAGUCCAAAAUCAUCAUACAAACCUGUUGGAAUCUUUAGAUCCCAAUUCCGAGGUCGUUUACUGAAAAUUCUAAUCCUAGUUAAUUCUUUCAACUUUAGGCUUCCGAAAUGAGAAUUCUCUUUCCAAAUCAACUCAGAACUUCCUGAAACUUAAUUCCGAUCACGCGUGCAAGUCAUAAUACCUGAAAAGAAGUUGUUCAUGGCCUCAGACUGUUGAACAAUGUGCUAGAGCUCAAAACGACCGGUCGGGUCGUUACAUUCUCUCCCACUUAAACAUACGUUCGUCCUUAAAUGUGCUGAGAACUACACUGAAGUAGUCUAAAAUCACUGUUUAACUUCUCAUGUACCUUCACGUGCUACCAUUACUUAGUUGAGCACAUCAGCUCGAUCAAUUCUUAAGAUAUUCCCUUUUAUUCAAGCAAAUAAGCCUUAGAGCCCAAUUCCAACAUCCAAAAUUCUAUGCCAGACCUGUUUCCAACAUAAGAUUACCAUAUCAACCACCACACGUUGUACCCAAACAUGGCUGCAUAACUUUGUUGAAUUCACACCUAGCAUCACUUUACUCACCGGACCAUAAUAACAUUUUCUGAUCAACUUAGUCAAAUUCUACAAAUUUGAUGCUCACAUUGCACCUCAUGACAUACACAUGCCUUACUAUAAAUCUUACAAUGCCUCCACAAUGGAGGAGAUAUGCAAAAAUUCAUAAUCAACUACUGAGUCAACCAAUCAUUGAGUCUAUACUUCUGACAAGAAACAUUACCUCAUUUUGAACCAAAUAAUGAUCUUUGCUCCUUAAUAUAUUUCACGUAAUCAGAUUGCACUAAUCCUAAAUCCAACAAUCUCGUCUCACCCAGUACGAACUGCUCAGGGAAUAAGCGUAUUUCACAUAACCAAAUUGUACUGAUCCUAAAUCCAACAAUCUCGUCUCACUCGGUACAAACUGCUCAGGCAAUAAGCCACCCCGACAUGACCAAAAGUCCCAUAUGAUGACAUAAUGUGCCAAUAGGCUACUAAUUAGAAUGCGAUACAGAAAAGGAAAAUUAACUCUAAAAAGGAAAUGCAAUUACCCCGCUCGUGAAUCAUACAUGUGAUGCGGGCACAUAGCUAAUAUGAGCUUUCCUUGGUAAAAUAGAAAACAAAACAGAUCAAACAGAUAUGGGGAACCGUACUGAACAUCACACUAUUGCGGCACACAACCCGAUCCGAGCAACGUAACCAGGGUGGUGUGCCAGUAAAUCCACAUAAUAUAACCAUGGUGGUGUGCCACCCGAUCCGAAUAACCCAUGGCGGCGUGCCACCCCAUCCAAAUAACAUACCCAUGGCGUCGGCCACCCAAUCCAUACAUAGAACUCACACAAGGAUAUGCACAUCGAGCUAAAUCGUGUAUUAUGAUAAAAUACCAAAUUUAUGUCACAAGCAAGCUAGGUGCAUAAUACCAUUUCUCUGGGGAGACACACAACACUAUAAGUUACAAACCCAAGCACAACUAAGGUACGACAUGGAAUCUGAAUCUCAAGAGCCAUCCUACUCAUAUAACAUCAUCUCUACGCGGAACCUCAACGCAUAAGAAAUUUACCAAGCCGUCUCACAACUCAUACAGCGUAAUAUAUCAUUACUUGAAAAAGCUGGCAACAAAAUAACACCCCGACUACCUUCCAUAAGGAGUGUAUUGCUGAGAUGAACAUAUCCGGUCUGAUAUAAAGCCCAUAUUCACUUUUAAAUCAAUCCACUUAUCUUAAGCGGAUUCCUAAUUGCGCCAACUAGGCUAAUAACCUUUCAAAGGUCCGUAAUAACUCUCUUUUUUCUCAUAACACAUAAGAACAACCCUCAUAACCCGAGCAAACCUCCACAGUCCAUAACGCAAUAAACAGAGUGCCCUCCAGGCAUAAAUUCUCAAAUUAAUGAUAUUACCACAAUCCUCAUACUUGGUUUAAAUCCUUAAUCCUUUGGGACAGGCUCCCACAACCUUCCUAAAUAAAUAACGGGUCCGCACAUCCAAACCACCGGUUGUAUUAACGCUGAAAAGUGAUCAAGAAUCCUUAACCAAGAUGCAAAGCCUUUUUCACAAAACACCGAUCUCAUAUGAUACUGACGACAAUAGCAGCUCACUUUAAACAUCGAAAAUCCUUUCAUGCUCAUCCAAGCUCGCGACAUCCUUGUCCACACCGAGCUAUUACCUUAAUCUUUACUUUCAAUUCCAUACCACUCACUGCGCCUAUCACGCCAACAUACAAUAGAAUACGCUUUUCAUUAUAGCUCCGGAACCACUAUUAGGCUAAAACUUCAUCAUAUAAAACUUCCCACUUAACUUUUUUCAGGAGAACCAUAGCAAUACGCGGGUGAAUCCUCAUAGCCAUAGAACAUUCAAAUCCUAAAGCAAUGGUCUAAUCUACCACAACCCUUUCGGGAUCCGCCCAUACAUAACAUGCCAUAAUGGUAGAAUACCUUUGAAUAACAUCAAUUACAAUGGCCAACAAGCCUCAUGGGUAUCGCCACAGAUCCCUUCCAUGAUUGGAUCAUGCUAAAGGAACCAAUCACGAACACCAAUAUGCCAAUUUAACUAUGGUUAAUCAAUGUAUCUUCUUCCAAUUUAUCAUCGAUUGCCUUAGAAGUAAUACUAAGUCCGUUCAACACAUAACAUACUCCAUCUGCACGCAUCCCGAGUGACCUCGAUUCACAAGACCAUGCUGCCUCAAAUCCCAUGAACAAUCUUAUACUUUCCUUAUACGCACAUUCGUACCCGCAACUGAUAUGCCCAUUCUGCUAAUCCUUCUACGAACCUAAAGUCCUUUCUCAGCUUUCUCUCAAGUGUUACACUGCAAGUCAAACAUCAUAGAACAUUCUGGGCCUCCACUCAUAAGCUGCUGCAAAAUCUUGAUUCUUAAUUGUACUUAUAGGCUUGAAAUCAUUAGCACCAUACUUUACUUCCUUAUUGAAUCCAUUAGGACUAUUAUUGAGAGCCACACACUCUGACUUGGUCUCGGAUAUAAUCAACUCCAUAAAUCUUAUAACACAUGAAUACCUCUCGAUGAGGCACCCGACUGAAUCACUCCCCUCGAAACCCACAUCCAUACAAGGCAUGUCCUGAAUCCUUCCCCAAGUCUGAACAUGAGCCAAUAAGGCAACCACAGCACCAUUUAACAAUUUCUUUUGUUCAAAUCACCACUCAUGUUCUUUUCCUGUGGCUGAAUAUAUCCUAUCAAUACGCUAAUAACUAGAACUCGCAAGUGGUUAAUUAUGCAACCCAAUCAUAAGAGGCGGGACUCUCCCACUUAGCUCAAAGCCACUAUUACACAACUCUAGAAUUCACUAGAAUUCCUUAUCUCUUAUUGACAUAACCUUGCGCAAUCAACCGCCUAAAUUCUCAAAUUCUUUCUGUAAAACCCCCUUUUAUACUUUGAAUCAUCAACCACAUUCGCAUGAUUGAUCUCUUUGCUGCAUAGUAGCCCAUACUUCCAAUUAAACUCGUAGACUUCAUUCGCCGGCCACUAAAAUCCCAAAUCAUUCCAAACUCUCCUUAAGGUGCAUAAUCAUCCUACCACCAAGCCCAUAUGCAACAACCAUCACUCUCCCAAUUUGGGAAAACUCGCUUCUUUAAUCAACUACUUGACUUUUGCUUCAUACACCUAGCUUUCUAGGAAUUUUAGCCAUCGUCUGGCCUUUUCUGCACAUCUUUCCUCAUCCUUAAACUAGCUUAAUAAACUAAUUGACCUUUGCUUCAUACAUCCGGCCUUCUAGGAAUUUUAGCCAUCGUCUGACACUUUCCACACAUUUUUCCUCAUCUUUUGCUACUCAGAUGUUGCCUUAAUAAAAUCUAUCUUCAUAGCACUUAAAUCCACAAAUUGCUACUAACUUUAAAUUUUGCUGGAGACCAUAUCUCUUGAGCUGCUAAUAUUAGAAAUGCCGAUUCAACCCUGAACCACCUUACCUUGCGAUAUCUAAUAGUCAUUUCUUCAAUAAUGACAUGCCAUAUUCUGCUCCAAAGGAGAAUUGUAGAAGAUCACAACACCGGCGAACCUAGAACAUUCAACAAGGGCAAAAACACCUCAUCCUAGAAGAAAAUUCCGCCAGGCUAGCAAAUACCGAGUCUCGAUACCUCAUCAACUCAAACCUAAACAUUUUCUGCCCGAUUGUUUUUCCCCUGUAGGGAAUAAAACACUGAAUCUCUAGAUCAUGCACAGAGUAAACCUCCCUUCAAGUCAUUCACUGCCUCGACAUGUAGGCAAACGUCCUACCACCAUGUCAAUACUGCGGAACAAUAAUUCAUAGGCAUCAUGGCAACUUGUGCCUAGCCUCGAGCCCUCUGAAGUACCCUUAAUGGGCUGAAACAAUAAAAUAUUCUUCCAUAAAGAGACGAUAAUAAUCCGAUCAGCUAUACCUAGAGAAACCUCCCGUAUCACAUUUGUAGUGCCAUUAAAAUUCUUCAAUUCUCGAUUUAUAACAAAUGCUUCGAAUUGCAUAAGAUUGACUAGGAAAGGAACAAAGUCAUAAGCCUCACAUGAAUCAAAUCAAACGAUAAGAAAUCAAGAAAGGAAGUACUCUUAACAGUCUUGCAGCCUCCCAAGGAUAAGUACAGAUGUCCCCGUACCAAUCCACGAGACUCUACUAGACAUGCUCAUGACUCGUGAGACCCUAGGAACCUAGUGCUCUGAUACCAUGUUGUAACGACCCAAAAUCCACUAAGGGUCGUGGUGGCGCUGGACAAUACUGCCAGGCAAUCCAACCAAAAUACUUAAUGACAUCCCAAUUUUGAAAUUCUCUGCAAUCAUUUGUCAUUAUACAUUAAAUAAUGAAUAUUAAAAUUUACAAAAAUAACCGCGAAGUCAUUAACUAAAACUUAACAUUUAAUAAUCAAAAAAUCCUCCCAAAACCCGGUGUCACAAGUGCAUGAGCAAUUUCUAAGAAAUAAUAUAAUACAACAAUCGUCCGGAAUACAAAGUUGGACAGAAAUAAAUAUAGAAAAGUGAAAGAGACUGUUCUGGUUGUGAGUCGUCUCGGGAAGUGCAACUUGUCUAAGUCUCCGAUCAACCAUGCUGCUACGCCCAGUAGGCAACUAGGGAUGCAUAUACUUGUGCAACAAAAAUGCACAGAAGUGUAGUAUGAGUACGAAAAUAAUGUGUACUCANNNNNNNNNNNNNNNNNNNNNNNNNNNNNNNNNNNNNGUGUAGCAUGAGUACGAAAACAACGUGUACCCAAUGAGUAUCCCGUCUAGUCUCGAAGAAGUAGAGACGAGAUGGUCAACUUUGACACUUACUAAUAGUCCAAUAAUAAUUUAUCCGUAAUAUAUUAUACCGUGGAUUUUAAUAAGUGAUUAUAUUUCAAUGGGUUGAAGAUAAUAAAAAAUCCUUUCUUUUAUAGAAAAUCAUUCUUUUUCAUCAUUUAUACAUAUAUUCUUAUGCCAGAAGAGGUUGCAAAACUUCAAUAAGUUUCACGGCAAGAAUACUAGCAUCCGCAAAUAACCACCAUGGGACGUACGACCCAAUCCAACAUAAAAGUAAAUUGUGCACAACCGAGGGUCGAACGGCUCGAACCAUAGAUGCAUCUAUUACCCCGCUCGCGAAUCAUCCAUGCGNNNNNNNNNNNNNNNNNNNNNNNNNNNNNNNNNNNNNNNNNNNNNNNNNNNNNNNNNNNNNNNNNNNNNNNNNNNNNNNNNNNNNNNNNNNNNNNNNNNNNNNNNNNNNNNNNNNNNNNNNNNNNNNNNNNNNNNNNNNNNNNNNNNNNNNNNNNNNNNNNNNNNNNNNNNNNNNNNNNNNNNNNNNNNNNNNNNNNNNNNNNNNNNNNNNNNNNNNNNNNNNNNNNNNNNNNNNNNNNNNNNNNNNNNNNNNNNNNNNNNNNNNNNNNNNNNNNNNNNNNNNNNNNNNNNNNNNNNNNNNNNNNNNNNNNNNNNNNNNNNNNNNNNNNNNNNNNNNNNNNNNNNNNNNNNNNNNNNNNNNNNNNNNNNNNNNNNNNNNNNNNNNNNNNNNNNNNNNNNNNNNNNNNNNNNNNNNNNNNNNNNNNNNNNNNNNNNNNNNNNNNNNNNNNNNNNUUAUAUAUAUAUAUAUAUAUAUAUAUAUUUAUAUACACACACAGAGUCAAACAGCCAAUUAAGAGUUUAUCGGGAAAUCUUCAUUUCAAAUAAAGCCAAUUUUUCCUUUAAUGAUUUAAGAAAAAUAAAGUUUAAUCCUUUUGAAAUUCAUUUGCUGAUUUGAUGUGAUUUAAGCAAUUCAAGCUGUCAAUAAGUUUACAACUAAUUCAAGAACAACAUGCCUUUGGGUCUUAGACUACCCGGAUAAUAGCAUAAUAGUAGCUAUGCACGGACUCUCGUCAACACGUGCAUAUGUAGCCCCCACAAAUAGGAGCACAUAACCAAUUAAUUUACCUAUGGAGACAUUUCCCUCUCACAAGGUUAGAAGGGAGACUCACCUCGCUACGAAGAUCCAUAACCGGCAUUCCACGCCCUUUCAAAGACUCAAAUCUAUGCACAACGCUCCAAAACUAGCUAAUAAUUACGCAAAUUCAUUAAUAUAUUCUUAAUUACUCAUUAUACUCCAAAUUGUAAAAAUUUCUAACCCCGAUCGAAAAUCUGACAAAAAUACCCUCGGGCCCACAUGUCCGGAAUCCAAAAUCUUUUGAAGAUAAAAAUUACCCAUACCCUCACAAACUCAAAUAUAUGAUUUUCGAUAAAUUUCAUACCCAAAAUCGUGGUCAAAUUCCAAGAAUACUAAUUUUCUAGGUUUUCCCUUAUACCCCAAGUUUUCUACAAUUUUUCAAGUCUAAAUCCAUAUAUAAACUUUGCAUUUAACUCAAAGCUACCAUAAAUUACUUACCUCAUGAUGAGUGAUGGAAAUGGCACCUCAAAGUUGCUCCCCAUCGGCUCCAAUGGAAGAAAAUGGGGUUGAAAUGAACCCAAUCCCGAAUCUUAUAGGACCUCACUGCCUCAGCAAUUUCCACACCUGCGGUUCCUUGACCGCUUCUGCGGUCCUCCCAAGCUGCCCCUUUUCCGCUUCUGUGACUAGCCUUCCGCCGAUGCGGUCCUGCUUCUGAGGAACCUUGACCGCAUUUGCGGUCCACGAACCCCUAACCAAAAAUCUGCUUCUGCAAUCGAUUGACCGCAUCUGCGGUCCUAGAACCGUAGAUCCGGUCAUGACAAAAGUAGCAUACCUUCAGCUAUACAUCAACUUCUAAAUUUGAUCCAUUAACCAUCCAGAAUCCACUCGAGGCCCCCGGGACCCCAACCAUUCAUACCAACCAGUCCCAAAACCCAUUACAACUUUCUCGAGGCCUCAAGUCAUAUCAAACAACGCUAAAAUCAUGAAUCAACCCCCAAUCCAAGCUUUAUGAUCUUUAGAACUUCCAACUUCUACUUUCGAUGCUUAAACCUAUCAACUCACCUCCGAUUGACCUCAAAUUUUGCACACGAGUCAUAUUUGACAUUACGGACUUAGUCCAACUUCUGGAAUCGGAUUCUAUCCCCGAUAUCAAAAAUUCCACUUUUGGUCAAACUUCUCAAAAACCUUUAAAUUUCUAUCUUUAGUCAAACCGCUCCAAAAUGACCUACGGACCUCAAUAUUCACUUAUGAUCGUGCUCCCAACUCCAUAAUCACAAUACAAAGCUGCUCCCAAACUCGGAAUCCCAAACGGACAUCGAUAUCACUGAAAUGCACUUUAACCUAAACUUAUGAAAUUUCUUUAAAAAUGUUACUUUCCACAAUAGGCGCCAAAAAGCACAUGGUCAUCCAAAACCCAAUCCGGGCAUAUGCCCAAGUCUGAAAUCAUCAUACAAUCCUGUUGGAACCUUCAGAUCCUGAUUCUGACGCCAUUUACACAAAAUUCCAAUCCUAGUUAAUUCUUUCAACUUUAGGCUUCCGGAAUGAAAAUUGCCUUUCCAAAUCAACUCUAAACUUCCUGAAACUUAAUUCCGGUCACGCGUACAAGUCAUAAUACCUGAAAUGAAGCUGUUCAUAGCCUCAGAAUGCUGAACGACAAGCUAGAGCUCAAAAAAAUUGAUCGGGUCGUUACAAUAUUCCCAUGAAACUAUAUCUAAAUCCCUCUCUUAUAACAGCAUAAAACGAUAGUGAAUCUGACCCUUUGAAUGGUCACAUCCAUCCCUUAAAUAGGUGCAUAAAAGGCUUAAUAUAUUCAGUAUGUGCUUAAGUCAUUUCCCUUUUCCCCUUUUUCCUAUUUUACUGAAGUGAGAGCCUUGAAGUAAAUCAUGGUUUGGAAGUUUUUACAUGCCUAUAGGAUUAACCUUGAACAUGGUAAGACCUAUUGAAUGCAUGUCCUUCCUUUACUCAAUUUAGUGUUAGAACUAACUUGAUAACAUUGUAGGUCCCUUCUGAAGAGAUACUCUUUUUUGUGAAUUUAACCCUUUCCACAUGGUCAAAUUCACGAAAAUCUUAGUUCAUUCAAACUGAAGCAGGGGCAGCUUGGG